RNAcentral lists this transfer-messenger RNA (351 nucleotides) under Peptostreptococcaceae. Its description in RNAcentral is "Terrisporobacter sp900557165 Standard tmRNA". It matches the Rfam family "transfer-messenger RNA". Rfam says of the family: Bacterial tmRNA, also known as 10Sa RNA or SsrA, is named for its dual tRNA and mRNA-like properties. The record is from RNAcentral. Lineage: Bacteria; Bacillati; Bacillota; Clostridia; Peptostreptococcales. RNAcentral also lists the same sequence under 2 other names.
GGGGGUGUACUGGUUUCGACGUGGGUUCGGAACUUGGGGCAGCGUGUCGUGUUACUCUGGGUCACGUAAAAACUGGGGAAUUUAAAAUAAACGCAAACGAUAAUUACGCUUUAGCAGCAUAGUCGCUGCUUGUCCCGCCUGAGCCCUCCUGCCGGCUAGGCCUGGACAUCAUUUAUGCAGGGUACUACUUUUAGGGUGUCUCGACUAUUAGUGGACUAAUUGGGACUGGUCAAGGAUAGAGUUUGUCACUGGACGCUAUCUGAGACGAGAUUUUAAAACAGAUGACUACACACGUAGACGCAACGAGGAAAAAGCUUGCGGACAGGGGUUCGAUUCCCCUCAUCUCCACCA